GGCCCCAUCGUCUAGCGGUCUAGGACAUUGCCUUUUCAAGGCAGUAACCGGGGUUCGAGUCCCCGUGGGGUCACCA
Molecule: transfer RNA, 76 nt
Filed under: Patescibacteria group bacterium
Lineage: Bacteria
Also listed under: 1 other name
Description: tRNA-Glu
Rfam family: tRNA
About the family: Transfer RNA (tRNA) molecules are approximately 80 nucleotides in length. Their secondary structure includes four short double-helical elements and three loops (D, anti-codon, and T loops).
Source: RNAcentral